AAAGUAAUUCAUUUAUAUACUUUUUCAAGUUCUUUUCCAUUAUAAUUACCGGAUAUUGAAUAUAAUUCCAUGUGUUAUACAGUAGGUCCUUGUUCAUUUUAUUAAGGCCCAAUGUUAAACACAAAGCCAUAUAAGUAUUAGUGAAAAUGUAAGACUGUAAUCGUAAGGUAGGAAAAGUUUCAGACAUUUUAAAAAGCUAUAAAAGGAAAGAUUUAUAAAUUGAACUAUCAAAUUCUAAAAAUUUUAUAUGACAAGGGACAAUUAAGCAAAAUUAAGUAUCAAGUGUGAUAAAGGACCAGUACAGAGACUAUAUAAAGAACACUUGUAAACUAUUAAGGCAAUUCAGUUUUUUUUUAAUGGACAAAAAAACCUAUGAACAAAUGAUUUUUGGAAAUAGAAAUAUUAAUGGUCAAAAGAAAAAAGAUGUUUAUAGUCCAAAAAAAUGAAAAUUAUACCAUAAUUUGCUGCAGUAAGAGGUCAUUUUUCCAUCUAUCAGACGAACAAAUUUAAAGUUUAUGAAGUGUUGGCAAAGCUUGGGAAAGUGAUAAGGGUUUCUUGAUGGUGAACUUAUGAAUUGGUAUAGCUACUUUGGAGGACGAUUUGUUAACAUUGUCUAAAAUUCAAAUUACAUCUUGCGACCCAGCAAUGAUGAGCUUGCUUCCUCGAACCCAGUUGAGGGAGAGAGUCUCCUGGAAAGAAGGACACUAUAGUCCUAUGUAAUAUAAUCAUGGAAAUGACAUCCCAUCCUCUUUGCUGUAUUUUGACAGCAGCAAAUCACAAGUCCUGCCCACACUCAAGGCAAGAGGAUUUCACAAGAGCGUCUGUCACCAGUGUCUAUGUCCCCAGAGGGAACCACAGCCACUCCCCAGUCUCCAGGUGGCUCACCAAGACCAGCAGUAACUGCAAGAAAUGACCAUCUGGACAAAUGCCCAACAGGACUCUUCUCUAAAGUUUCUCCCUGUUUUAAGACUCGAGGCCGUGCCUUAAUGAGGCCCAACUCCACUGUCCGGCCACUAUUUGAGUAACCUGCUAAUCAGAUGGAAUUCUGAAGAGUGCUACAAUUUGCAGUUGGCAGCUUUGGCAACCAGGAGGGGACACAGAAUAGACUUCUCUUCUUCUCUUCCUCACCUGAACGUUACAAGGAUGUGGAACCUUGAUGCGAGCAAGGCCCCUUGUGCUCAUUCACUUCUUCAGCAAGUCUGACAAAUCUGGAUCUUCAAGAAGAUUCAUAAAAAGGACUUUUUGACAAAUAUGUUUCAGAUGAUUCCACUGAACUGGGUGAGAUUAUGAAACUCUAAUGGAAAACCUGAUGGCUUAAUAAAACUACUAACAAAAAAGUCAAAGUCAACAAGAAUUAAUUACCUGGGACUGAAUGAAUUGGUAAAUAUGACUUACAAUGUUAUGGGUGUUUGCCUGAAAUAUUACUGGCUUUCAAUCUUUGUUUCCAAGAUAUGAGGAAACCUUUUCUCUCAUGCCAACUAUGAUUUGCACAAGUUGAUAAAGUAUACAUUUGUAACGAAGAUGAAACAUUUAUCUUUUGCUCUCUACCUGAUCCCUUCCCUCUGGACGUGGUGGCUUACCGUGAUCUGCAUUACAACCAGUCAUACUAAUCAUUGUCAUCAUUUGUUCUCUCUUUGUUAUUUUCAAACUAUUUAUGCUUUAUCUCCCUCAUUGCUGAACUAUGACCUUAAAAAUACUACUACCUAUAUUAUUUAUAUCCUGACUAUUUUAUAAGAUUGUUGUUUCUUGCAUUACCCUCUGUGCAGCCAGUUCAAUAACAAAGUGAAUGAUGGCUAAACCUCUUGGGGCAAUCAAUCACAUAUAUAGCUCUAUAUUAAAUUCACUGGAAUGAUGUGACUCUAGAUGUGGGUGGAGGCAAUAAGGGAAAAAGAUUUCUUGGAUCAUUAUAAACUACGUAGUAAGACAUACAACCCAGAGAAUUUUUUGGUUAUUAACAGGGCCUGAUUCAGAUAUAGCACAGGAAUGACCUAUCAGUGAAAUCCUGUCCUUAAGGAGGAAUGAGCCUUCCUAUAACCAUGAGACAAAUUAGUCAUCAAGUGCCUCCAAAAAUUUGGUUAAAUUUAUGACCAAAAAGCAGGAAGCUGUAAACAAAAAGAACAGUCUCCCUCAUUACCCCAUUAAAGAAAGGGUUAAAGUGCAACCCCCUGCAGUCACCCACUGACAGUGCCCCCUGAGGGGAAUUCAGGAUAAAAUAUUCUGGGUUUGGAUAUAAAGGCCCCUUAGAAACUCAGGAUCGAUAUCUUAGAAAGAAUCUCAUUGACCUCAGAUUCAUGUUUUAGAAAAGCACCAAAAUCAUUAAAUCAAGUAUUUGUUUCCUGAUGAUUAGCAGUAAUCUUUCACCAAAAUACAUGCUUAACUAUAUGUAUUUGCCUGUCAAAAAAUUCAGAAUCCACUGUCUUCUUCCCUGCUUCUUCAGAGCAUUCCUCAGAGCUAUUUAAAAGGCUGUCUCCAAGGCUGUCUCCAAGGCUGUAUUUCUCAGUGAAGUCCCCAAAUAAAACGGAAACUUAAUUGCAA
Non-coding RNA from Vicugna pacos (alpaca), 2535 nucleotides. The record is from RefSeq and is a predicted model, not a curated record. NCBI's taxonomy places the organism in Eukaryota, Metazoa, Chordata, Mammalia, Artiodactyla, Camelidae.